Molecule: ribosomal RNA, 130 nt
Filed under: Teratosphaeria nubilosa
Lineage: Eukaryota; Fungi; Ascomycota; Dothideomycetes; Mycosphaerellales; Teratosphaeriaceae
Also listed under: 1 other name
Description: partial 18S ribosomal RNA
Rfam family: Eukaryotic small subunit ribosomal RNA
Source: RNAcentral
GAGGCGUCCGGACUGGCCCAGGGAGGUCGGCAACGACCACCCAGGGCCGGAAAGUUCGUCAAACUUGGUCAUUUAGAGGAAGUAAAAGUCGUAACAAGGUCUCCGUAGGUGAACCUGCGGAGGGAUCAUU